GAUGAACGCUGGCGGCGUGCCUAAUACAUGCAAGUCGAGCGAACAGACGAGGAGCUUGCUCCUCUGACGUUAGCGGCGGACGGGUGAGUAACACGUGGAUAACCUACCUAUAAGACUGGGAUAACUUCGGGAAACCGGAGCUAAUACCGGAUAAUAUAUUGAACCGCAUGGUUCAAUAGUGAAAGACGGUUUUGCUGUCACUUAUAGAUGGAUCCGCGCCGCAUUAGCUAGUUGGUAAGGUAACGGCUUACCAAGGCAACGAUGCGUAGCCGACCUGAGAGGGUGAUCGGCCACACUGGAACUGAGACACGGUCCAGACGCCUACGGGAGGCAGCAGUAGGGAAUCUUCCGCAAUGGGCGAAAGCCUGACGGAGCAACGCCGCGUGAGUGAUGAAGGUCUUCGGAUCGUAAAACUCUGUUAUUAGGGAAGAACAAAUGUGUAAGUAACUAUGCACGUCUUGACGGUACCUAAUCAGAAAGCAACGGCUAACUACGUG
RNAcentral lists this ribosomal RNA (497 nucleotides) under uncultured bacterium. RNAcentral describes it as "partial 16S ribosomal RNA". It matches the Rfam family "Bacterial small subunit ribosomal RNA", at positions 28 to 507 of the family's 1533-position model. The record is from RNAcentral.